This 515-nucleotide ribosomal RNA is filed under the name uncultured bacterium. RNAcentral's name for it is "partial 16S ribosomal RNA". It matches the Rfam family "Bacterial small subunit ribosomal RNA", at positions 28 to 523 of the family's 1533-position model. The record is from RNAcentral.
GAUGAACGCUGGCGGCGUGCCUAAUACAUGCAAGUCGAGCGAAUGGAUUAAGAGCUUGCUCUUAUGAAGUUAGCGGCGGACGGGUGAGUAACACGUGGGUAACCUGCCCAUAAGACUGGGAUAACUCCGGGAAACCGAGGCUAAUACCGGAUAACAUUUUGAACCGCAUGGUUCGAAAUUGAAAGGCGGCUUCGGCUGUCACUUAUGGAUGGACCCGCGUCGCAUUAGCUAGUUGGUGAGGUAACGGCUCACCAAGGCAACGAUGCGUAGCCGACAUGAGAGGGGGAGCGGCCAAAGUGGGACUGAGACACGGCCCAGACGCCUACGGGAGGCAGCAGGAGGGAAUCUGCCGCAAUGGACGAGAGUCUGACGGAGCAACGCCGCGUGAGUGAUGAAGGCUUUCGGGUCGUAAAACUCUGUUGUUAGGGAAGAACAAGUGCUAGUUGAAUAAGCUGGCACCUUGACGGUACCUAACCAGAAAGCCACGGCUAACUACGUGCCAGCCGCCGCGGUAA